Molecule: long non-coding RNA, 163 nt
Organism: Sphaeramia orbicularis (orbiculate cardinalfish)
Lineage: Eukaryota; Metazoa; Chordata; Actinopteri; Kurtiformes; Apogonidae
Exons: 3
Source: RefSeq, a predicted model, not a curated record
UUCAUUUCCUUUUCCUGAGUCUUAUCAUAGUCAGCAUAUUCCAAUAUUCUCAGAUAAUUUAAUAGUCAGACAUGGGGCUUUAUCCACAUAAAUAAAGAGUUUAUAUGAUUUGUAUAUCAGCCAUGCCGCUCUGUAGUUACCGUGGAAACACCGUCAUCUUCUA